RNAcentral lists this ribosomal RNA (265 nucleotides) under uncultured bacterium. RNAcentral describes it as "partial 16S ribosomal RNA". The record is from RNAcentral.
CUGCUGCCUCCCGUAGGGGUCUGGGCCGUGUCUCAGUCCCAAUGUGGCCGUCCACCCUCUCAGGCCGGCUACUGAUCGUCGCCUUGGUAGGCCGUUACCCUGCCAACAAGCUAAUCAGACGCGGGUCCAUCUUACACCACCGUGGUUUUCAAGGAAAACACAUGCAUGUUCUCCUGUUAUGCGGUAUUAGCACCUAUUUCUAAGUGUUAUCCCCCGGUGUAAGGCAGGUUGCCCACGCGUUACUCACCCGUCCGCCACUAAAACA